GAUGAACGCUGGCGGCGUGCCUAAUACAUGCAAGUCGAGCGAACAGACGAGGAGCUUGCUCCUCUGACGUUAGCGGCGGACGGGUGAGUAACACGUGGAUAACCUACCUAUCAGACUGGGAUAACUUCGGGAAACCGGAGCUAAUACCGGAUAAUAUAUUGAACCGCAUGGUUCAAUAGUGAAAGACGGUUUUGCUGUCACUUAUAGAUGGGUCCGCGCUGGAUUAGCUAGUUGGUAAGGUAAAGGCUUACCAAGGCAACGAUGCAUAGCCGACCUGAGAGGAUGAUCAGCCACACUGGGAGUGAGACACGGCCGAGACUCCUACGGGAGGCAGCAGUGGGGAAUAUUGGACAAUGGGCGAAAGCAUGAUCCAGCAAUGCCGCGUGAGUGAUGAAGGCCUUAGGGUUGUAAAGCUCUUUUACCCGGGAUGAUAAUGACAGUACCGGGAGAAUAAGCUCCGGCUAACUCCGUG
RNAcentral lists this ribosomal RNA (472 nucleotides) under uncultured bacterium. RNAcentral's name for it is "partial 16S ribosomal RNA". It matches the Rfam family "Bacterial small subunit ribosomal RNA", at positions 28 to 507 of the family's 1533-position model. The record is from RNAcentral.